Molecule: transfer RNA, 76 nt
Filed under: bacterium
Lineage: Bacteria
Description: tRNA-Asp
Rfam family: tRNA
About the family: Transfer RNA (tRNA) molecules are approximately 80 nucleotides in length. Their secondary structure includes four short double-helical elements and three loops (D, anti-codon, and T loops).
Source: RNAcentral
GGAGCCGUGGUGUAGCGGUUAACAUGCUGGCCUGUCACGCCGGAGACCGCGGGUUCAAUUCCCGUCGGCUCCGCCA